GGGGCUGGUCGGCGGUCGCCGGGGUUUUAGGCCCCGGAGGAAAGUCCGAGCUCCGCAGGGCAGGGCGCCGGGUAACACCCGGAGGGGGUAACCCCUGGAAAGUGCCACAGAAAACAGACCGCCCCUGUACCCUUUUCUAGAAUUUAUGGGUACAGGGGUAAGGGUGAAAAGGUGGGGUAAGAGCCCACCGCUCCCCCUGGCAACAGGGGGAGGCACGGCAAACCCCGCCCGGAGAAAGGCCAUGUAGGGGAGCGCUUGAGGGUGGCCCGCCCGAUGCUCCCGGGUAGGCCGCUAGAGCGGUUGGGUAACCAACCGCCUAGAGGAAUGACCGCCACCUGGCCUUGGCCAGGGACAGAACUCGGCUUAUGACCAGCCCCUUUU
Molecule: RNase P RNA, 381 nt
Filed under: Thermodesulfatator atlanticus
Lineage: Bacteria; Pseudomonadati; Thermodesulfobacteriota; Thermodesulfobacteria; Thermodesulfobacteriales; Thermodesulfatatoraceae
Description: RNase P RNA component class A
Rfam family: Bacterial RNase P class A
About the family: Ribonuclease P (RNase P) is a ubiquitous endoribonuclease, found in archaea, bacteria and eukarya as well as chloroplasts and mitochondria. Its best characterised activity is the generation of mature 5'-ends of tRNAs by cleaving the 5'-leader elements of precursor-tRNAs.
Source: RNAcentral